This 338-nucleotide ribosomal RNA is filed under the name uncultured bacterium. RNAcentral's name for it is "bacterial SSU rRNA". It matches the Rfam family "Bacterial small subunit ribosomal RNA", at positions 47 to 413 of the family's 1533-position model. The record is from RNAcentral.
CCUAACACAUGCAAGUCGAACGAACCCUUCGGGGUUAGUGGCGCACGGGUGCGUAACGCGUGGGAAUCUGCCCUUUGCUUCGGAAUAACAGUUAGAAAUGACUGCUAAUACCGGAUGAUGACUUCGGUCCAAAGAUUUAUCGGCAAAGGAUGAGCCCGCGUAGGAUUAGGUAGUUGGUGGGGUAAAGGCCUACCAAGCCGACGAUCCUUAGCUGGUCUGAGAGGAUGAUCAGCCACACUGGGACUGAGACACGGCCCAGACUCCUACGGGAGGCAGCAGUGGGGAAUAUUGGACAAUGGGGGCAACCCUGAUCCAGCAAUGCCGCGUGAGUGAUGAAG